AGAAAAGCUGUAUCACGAUAUCAGCAUGAUGAGUGUGAAGGCGAAAUUAGCAUAGAAGUUUUUUGUGGCAGCAUUUUCAGAACCCAGAGUGAAGGACAAGUGAAAGAUAUGCAAGCAACAUUUCUAAACGCACCUGCAUUGUUUUGCAUUUUGUGACUUUCAGUCGAAUAAAAGACAAUUUUUCCAGAGAUUUUUCCUCAUUGAAGGUUUCUAAAAAUUAGUGUCAGUAGUGAAAAUACUGUCUCAAUUUCGUGUAUCUUGUCUAGUUUUUACCUGUUGUUGAGGAAGGCUAGAGCUGUGAUACCAGAGACUCCAUCUUCAUUACUGCAGCGCAACGAUCCUUCCGCUGCAUCCCACAACUGUAACCAGACUGUGACUAACAUUCUUUAAACAACACAACAUUAAGCAUGUGGAGGUAGGAAGCAUAUCCAAUACAGAAGCAGAUAAGGCAUGUGAAUACAGAAAGCAUCUUUUCCGAGUUCCAUUACAGUUUUACACACCUCCAGUUUACCGCUGCUCCUCCCAGCAGCUAUCAGAUUUCCUCUCAGCUCCAUGGCCCAGACAGAGCUUUCCCAGUCUGCUGUCGCCUGCGUUGAUGUGGAAGCCUUCUCUUGGGUUAAGAAGACGGCUGCAUCCCCUAAACUUGGUCUUCUCUGGAGCUGAGAUCCUGAGGGUGGCGAGGAGGAGGCAGAGGAAGUAGAGGGGUAUGUGGAGGGUGAGGGGGGCUCGUGCUCCAUGUAGGCGCGCUCCACCAGACCUCCAAAGUCGAA
Long non-coding RNA from Micropterus dolomieu (smallmouth bass), 770 nucleotides. RefSeq lists it as uncharacterized. NCBI's taxonomy places the organism in Eukaryota, Metazoa, Chordata, Actinopteri, Centrarchiformes, Centrarchidae. The transcript is spliced from 3 exons. The record is from RefSeq and is a predicted model, not a curated record.